Molecule: unclassified non-coding RNA, 580 nt
Filed under: Xenoacremonium recifei
Lineage: Eukaryota; Fungi; Ascomycota; Sordariomycetes; Hypocreales; Nectriaceae
Description: sequence contains 18S rRNA gene, ITS1, 5.8S rRNA gene, ITS2, 28S rRNA gene
Rfam family: 5.8S ribosomal RNA (bases 202-355)
Source: RNAcentral
AGUCGUAACAAGGUCUCCGUUGGUGAACCAGCGGAGGGAUCAUUACCGAGUUAUCAACUCCCAAACCCCUGUGAACAUACCUUUUGUUGCCUCGGCGGGAUCGCCCCGGCGCCUCCGGGCCCGGAUCCAGGCGCCCGCCGCAGGACCCUAAACUCUUGUUUUCUAUAUGAAUCUUCUGAGUGACACAAGCAAAUAAAUUAAAACUUUCAACAACGGAUCUCUUGGUUCUGGCAUCGAUGAAGAACGCAGCGAAAUGCGAUAAGUAAUGUGAAUUGCAGAAUUCAGUGAAUCAUCGAAUCUUUGAACGCACAUUGCGCCCGGCAGUAUUCUGCCGGGCAUGCCUGUUCGAGCGUCAUUUCAACCCUCAAGCCCCCGGGCUUGGUGUUGGAGAUCGGCCCGCCCCCGUGGCAGGCCGGCUCCGAAAUCCAGUGGCGGUCCCGCCGUAACUUCCUCUGCGUAGUAGCAAUAUCUCGCACCGGAAAGCGACGGAGCCUUGCCGUAAAACCCCCAACUUCUGAAGGUUGACCUCGGAUCAGGUAGGAAUACCCGCUGAACUUAAGCAUAUCAAUAAGCGGAGGAA